AGCUUUGUGCAGUGGCAGUAUCGUAGCCAAUGAGGUCUAUCCGAGGCGCGAUUAUUGCUAAUUGAAAUAAGAAGUAUUCCUUCCUGUUUUGUUUUCUUGAAAACAUAUAGAAUUGGUGGUGUUUUUUAAAAG
This is a small nuclear RNA of 132 nucleotides. Its record names the gene U4. It matches the Rfam family "U4 spliceosomal RNA". From Rfam's summary of the family: U4 small nuclear RNA (U4 snRNA) is a component of the major U2-dependent spliceosome. The record is from Ensembl.